GACGAACGCUGGCGGCGUGCCUAAUACAUGCAAGUAGAACGCUGAAGGAGGAGCUUGCUUCUCUGGAUGAGUUGCGAACGGGUGAGUAACGCGUAGGUAACCUGCCUGGUAGCGGGGGAUAACUAUUGGAAACGAUAGCUAAUACCGCAUAAGAGUAGAUGUUGCAUGACAUUUGCUUAAAAGGUGCAAUUGCAUCACUACCAGAUGGACCUGCGUUGUAUUAGCUAGUUGGUGGGGUAACGGCUCACCAAGGCGACGAUACAUAGCCGACCUGAGAGGGGGAUCGGCCACACUGGGACUGAGACACGGCCCAGACUCCUACGGGAGGCAGCAGUAGGGAAUCUUCGGCAAUGGACGGAAGUCUGACCGAGAAACGCCGCGUGAGUGAAGAAGGUUGUCGGAUCGUAAAGCUCUGUUGUAAGGGAAGAACGAGUGUGAGAGUGGAAAGUUCACACUGUGACGGUAUCUUACCAGAAAGGGACGGCUAACUACGUG
RNAcentral lists this ribosomal RNA (495 nucleotides) under uncultured bacterium. Its description in RNAcentral is "partial 16S ribosomal RNA". It matches the Rfam family "Bacterial small subunit ribosomal RNA", at positions 28 to 507 of the family's 1533-position model. The record is from RNAcentral.